RNAcentral lists this ribosomal RNA (467 nucleotides) under uncultured bacterium. Its description in RNAcentral is "partial 16S ribosomal RNA". It matches the Rfam family "Bacterial small subunit ribosomal RNA", at positions 328 to 792 of the family's 1533-position model. The record is from RNAcentral.
UCGCCAGACUCCUACGGGAGGCAGCAGUGAGGAAUAUUGGUCAAUGGGCGGAAGCCUGAACCAGCCAAGUCGCGUGAGGGAAGAAGGCCCUGCGGGUCGCAGACCUCUUUGGACGGGGAGCAAGGCCGCCGACGUGUCGGCGGAAGGAGAGUACCCGUAGAACAAGCAUCGGCUAACUCCGUGCCAGCAGCCGCGGUAAUACGGAGGAUGCGAGCGUUAUCCGGAUUUAUUGGGUUUAAAGGGUGCGUAGGCGGCAUUAUAAGUUAGUGGUAAAAUAUUGGGGCUUCACCUCACUACGCCAUUAAUACUGUAGAGCUAGAGAACAGACGAGGUAGGCGGAAUAAGUUAAGUAGCGGUGAAAUGCAUAGAUAUAACUUAGAACACCGAUAGCGAAGGCAGCUUACCAGACUGAGUCUGACGCUGAUGCACGAGAGCAUGGGUAGCGAACAGGAUUAGAUACCCUCGUA